RNAcentral lists this ribosomal RNA (378 nucleotides) under uncultured bacterium. RNAcentral's name for it is "bacterial SSU rRNA". It matches the Rfam family "Bacterial small subunit ribosomal RNA", at positions 28 to 404 of the family's 1533-position model. The record is from RNAcentral.
GACGAACGCUGGCGGCGUGCUUAACACAUGCAAGUCGAGCGGUAAGGCCCUUUCGGGGGUACACGAGCGGCGAACGGGUGAGUAACACGUGGGUGACCUGCCCUCAGCUCUGGGAUAAGCCUGGGAAACCGGGUCUAAUACCGGAUAUGACUCCAUGACGCAUGUUGUGGGGUGGAAAGCCUUGUGCGGCUGAGGAUGGGCCCGCGGCCUAUCAGCUUGUUGGUGGGGUGAUGGCCUACCAAGGCGACGACGGGUAGCCGGCCUGAGAGGGCGACCGGCCACACUGGGACUGAGACACGGCCCAGACUCCGUACGGGAGGCAGCAGGUGGGGAAUCUUGCGCAAUGGGACGAAAGCCUGACGCAGCGACGCCGCGUGA